CCCUGGUUAGCUCAGUUGGUAAAGCGUUCCACUGUUAAUGGGGAGGUCCCUGGUUCAAUACCAAAACAAGGAG
RNAcentral lists this transfer RNA (73 nucleotides) under Ixodes scapularis (black-legged tick). It matches the Rfam family "tRNA". Rfam says of the family: Transfer RNA (tRNA) molecules are approximately 80 nucleotides in length. Their secondary structure includes four short double-helical elements and three loops (D, anti-codon, and T loops). Lineage: Eukaryota; Metazoa; Arthropoda; Arachnida; Ixodida; Ixodidae. The record is from Rfam by way of RNAcentral.